RNAcentral lists this ribosomal RNA (492 nucleotides) under uncultured bacterium. Its description in RNAcentral is "partial 16S ribosomal RNA". It matches the Rfam family "Bacterial small subunit ribosomal RNA", at positions 29 to 507 of the family's 1533-position model. The record is from RNAcentral.
AGUGAAUGCUGGCGGUAGGCCUAACACAUGCAAGUCGAACGGCAGCACAGUAAGAGCUUGCUCUUACGGGUGGCGAGUGGCGGACGGGUGAGGAAUACAUCGGAAUCUACUUUUUCGUGGGGGAUAACGCAGGGAAACUUACGCUAAUACCGCAUACGACCUACGGGUGAAAGCAGGGGAUCUUCGGACCUUGCGCGAUUGAAUGAGCCGAUGUCGGAUUAGCUAGUUGGCGGGGUAAAGGCCCACCAAGGCGACGAUCCGUAGCUGGUCUGAGAGGAUGAUCAGCCACACUGGAACUGAGACACGGUCCAGACUCCUACGGGAGGCAGCAGUGGGGAAUAUUGGACAAUGGGCGCAAGCCUGAUCCAGCCAUACCGCGUGGGUGAAGAAGGCCUUCGGGUUGUAAAGCCCUUUUGUUGGGAAAGAAAAGCAGCAGGUUAAUACCCCGCUGUUCUGACGGUACCCAAAGAAUAAGCACCGGCUAACUUCGUG